Molecule: unclassified non-coding RNA, 1753 nt
Filed under: Hevea brasiliensis (rubber tree)
Lineage: Eukaryota; Viridiplantae; Streptophyta; Magnoliopsida; Malpighiales; Euphorbiaceae
Source: RNAcentral
CCACUUGGUGGAUAACUGCAAGUUUUCAUUCAAUUCAAUCACAAUAAUUGUUCUCUCUUGUAUACAAUUGAGGGUGGAAUGAAGAAAAUAAGUGGAAAAAUAAUAACUAGCUAGUUGAAAGCCAACCAAUGUUGACUUCUUUAACAGCCUAACCAACCAAAACUAGCUAAAAAUUGAAAACUAGUUACUAAAAAUUAACUAACUAAAUUUGAAGUAUGUUCUAGAUCCUUGAAUGUAGACUCCAUCUGAUAUACAUGAAUUUGCUUUAGCUGAGGGCCUUCUUCCUAUUCUCACACUUCACACUUCCUGCAACAGAAAAAUGGUUGUCUCCUCCUACACUUCCUACACCAGAUAAAAGGAAAUUGCACAAAAAGAUACAUUAAUAUAAUAAAUUCUGAUUACAAAAAGAAAUAAUAGCUUAUUAAAUUCUAGAAGCACAUACCUAAAAAAAUAAAUCAUACGUGCAUAAUAUUUUGUAUAUGGUUACAAAAAACAAUGGAAAAUACUGUGUUGUUACAAUUUCGAUAAAUUCGUCCUCCUCAUAAUUCUUGCUAUCAGUUUGAUGUACAAUGAGAUUUUGCGACUUAUCUUGAUCACAGUAGUGAUGAUGAAAAGCCCUGAGAAAGUGAAGGAGAUCAUAGCCAUUAUCUGUUUUUAAUCUAGACCGCCCACACAUAUCACUAAAAAGUCGUCGCAUCAGUGUAUCGACAGAAAUAUUAGAAGACCAAUCAACAAAUUUGAUAUUGAUUGCAAUAUUUCUAACCCACUUGUGGGUGUAAUCUCUUUUUCUAUUAUAUUUGUGCAUGUCAGCCGUCGCAUGUCUAGCUCGAACUCAACAUUCCUCAUAAAACAUGAAUCUCCUUCGCCAUGGCCACAAUGCUGGAUGAUUCUUCACGAAUUCCACUGGAAUAACAGUUUUAUAUCUACUAGUCAUGUAUAACAUAUUAACGCUGUCAAUUAGGUUAAUUCAAUCAGAAGGUAACUCUUGCAUCUCUUUACCAAGUAUGGUAUAACAAAUCAUGCUAGCCAACUCAGUCACAUCAGCAUUUUUCGAUUUCUCUUUGAAAUCACCAUUUUUUUUCUCUGACUUAUCAUCAUGCACAAUAAAAACUUUAAUGAUGUCUCUCACAUGUGCACCAAAAUAGCACUUCAUUCCAAAUUUCAACAAAAAGUUCUUAUGAUUAUGAAGAUAACCGUGAAUUCCAUUCUUAUCAUGAAAUUCUAUGACAGCUAUUAUCACACCCUGCACUAAUUGCACCGUAUCUAAUGUGGGCCAUUCUGAGUUCCAAUUGAUAGAUGCUACCUUGUUGUUACUUUUAGUAGGAUCCAAAUUCCAUGUGUGGUGCUUGCUUGACCACCUAGCAUCAGUGUUGUGUUUAAUCAACCAUUCUUCAAGAUUAUAAUCGUAUGACUCAUUUACACAUAUAUUCUUCCUUUCAGUAGUCAUCACCGUGGAUUGGAGAAGGAGAAGGAGAGCGAGAGACCCUCUCCAAGCCGGCGGCAGUUAGAAUAACGAUUCGAGAGAGAAGAGUGGAAAGGACUAAGUAAUUGUUUGAUUGAGCCACACUGCCACUGCAGGUUGAUAAACACCGGUGAUGUCGUGAUGAGGACUGAUCUUGGAAGAGGAGCUUGAAGACCAACCGAAGAGAGGAUUGACAAUGAGAAUUGAUGACCAGACCAAAAAGCAGUGAGCGCGGAGGAGGAGGAGAAUGGUGCGGCGCCUGGUCUGGAGAAAAUUACUUAAGUUAGCCCU